This 364-nucleotide long non-coding RNA is filed under the name Sinocyclocheilus anshuiensis. Its description in RNAcentral is "lncRNA (ENSSANG00000019892.1)". The record is from RNAcentral. Lineage: Eukaryota; Metazoa; Chordata; Actinopteri; Cypriniformes; Cyprinidae.
GCUCGCUAUUGGCUGCGCUGAGGGAGUAGCAGAGAGCGUUUACAGUACAGCCUUUGAAGAAGGCAGAGUGAAGUAUGACAGAUGAGGCUGAUCGGCACGCGAUGUUCACCGUUUGCAUAGAUGAAAACACCUCUCGAUAUACAAGAGUUAUUUCAUCAUUAGAUGGGGAAGGAUAUUCCUGUGGACUGCUUUUAUUUCCAACUGUGCUCGUUGAAUAAUUUGACACCCUGCUUGGAUCUAUACUAAACCCAUGGCAGAGCCAGACGUGGAUUAAAGCACUGACAGCCCCAUCAACACCGAGUGGUUGACGGAGAAGUGCAUUGGCGAUACAAAUCAGCAAGAAUACGGUCAUUAAAGUAACCGA